Falco peregrinus (peregrine falcon) is the source of this 6958-nucleotide long non-coding RNA. RefSeq lists it as uncharacterized. Lineage: Eukaryota; Metazoa; Chordata; Aves; Falconiformes; Falconidae. The transcript has 20 exons. The record is from RefSeq and is a predicted model, not a curated record.
UACCUCGCCACGCGUGCCUCGUGCUUGCGAGUCGGACUGCUGACUACGGAGGGAUCCCUUUUGUAGCCGCCGAGGGCCCGCGAGGCUCCGUGUGCCCGCCGCUUCCGAGUGCUGCGCUGCGGCUCGGGCAACGGCCGGGGAGGAACUGUCGGUCCCUGGUGGUAACGCAGCCGGGCCUGCUAGGCGCUUCAAGCAGCGCGUCCGGCCGGGCAGUGUUGUUUUCCGAGGCUGUAAAGGAGCCCGAGGUAUAAACCCGCUUGACGUUUCCGUACGGCGGUGCGCUUUGUCGGAGGGCUCGGCCGUACUGACGGAGCUGGCACAGGGUUCCCGCGGGACUCCGGCUUUGCCCGUCUCGUGGAAAGGCUCCAGAGCCUGCUUGGGAAGCCGCUUGACAAGGCACGGCUUUGCCGUGAUUUUUAUGCCGGAAUUCCGACGGUAACGCCGAUGCCACGUGUUAGCCUUUCUCCAGCAGCUCUUCAAAGCAGAGUGAGCCUUAAGAAUCGGACUGCCUUUUAACGAAAUUCGAAACAAAGCGGCGGGGUGAAGCGGCUGGAAGCGUCCUGCCGGUCUGCCGUGGGUAUCGCUGCCGUGCGUGUUACCUGCCUGUCUGCCGAUCGCUCCUGCCUCUUGUUGUGCCCCGGGCCUCGGCUGUUGCGUGCAGAGAAGCUGUCAGCCUUGUGAGAGAGCACGCCGCCGGCAAGCGCAUCGUGGUGCUUCGGUACCGAGCUGAGACCGCAGGCGUCCCUCUUUUGUUUGCGAAAAGGGAUCGCGAGGAAAGGUGCUGACCUCGGAGGGGGAGAGGUGGCGGGGGAACAGGGGGCGUUCCCACAAGGCAGUGGUGUGGAGCCGAAGGGGACUGCGAUGGAACGGGGACGGAGCCCGUUUGGACCGAGUCUUGAAGAUAGAUCUCUCGGGUUUUUGUCCGAGGAAACUUCGUCUCGAGACGGUCCUAUCGCUCGCUGGCAACGUGACUAGUCGAAUCGAGGAUGUUCGCUGCCAGAACUUCAUCCACCGAGAUGGGAAGCCAGGCAACUUCCUAACGGGCCGUGGGCAGAGUUCCCUUCUUGAUGCCGUGCCUCUAUAAUAAACUGUGCAGUCCGUUAGCUGGACGGGCUGCAGUACCCAAUUUUUUUCGCCAGGCGGCAGCACCGCGCGCCCCCCAGGCGGAGUAAGGGCAGCGCAUGCGCAGACGCGGCUUGACGCCGAAGGGGGCGUGGCCUCCGGGCACGUCGCGGGCCGAUGACGCAAUCCGGCUUCGGCGCAUGCGCAGAAGGGGUUUCUGGCAAAGUAAGGGCAGCGCAUGCGCAGACGCGGCUUGACGCCGAAGGGGGCGGGGCUUCCGGCCUCGUCGCGGACCGAUGACGCAACACGCCUCGACGCAUGCGCAGAAGGGCUUUCUGGCAAACUAAGGGCAGCGCAUGCGCAGACGCGGCUUGACGCCGAAGGGGGCGGGGCUUCCGGCCUCGGGCGUACGGGCAGAUGACGCAAUCCCGCUUUGGCGCAUGCGCAGAAGCCUUGCUGGCCGACCGAGGGCGGCGCAUGCGCAGAAGCGGCUUUGACCCCCUAGGGGCGGGGCUUCCGGCCUCGUGCGUAGGGGCAGAGGACGCAUCCGGCCCGGGAAAGGCGGGUUCGCUGCCGGCCCGCGCGGCGCGCUGGAGCGGCCGUGGAGGUUCGUCCGGAAGCGUCCGUCGACAAGUCAAGGGGAGCGGAACCGAAGGGCCUCGGCUGUUGCGUGCAGAGAAGCUGUCAGCCUUGUGAGAGAGCACGCCGCCGGCAAGCGCAUCGUGGUGCUUCGGUACCGAGCUGAGACCGCAGGCGUCCCUCUUUUGUUUGCGAAAAGGGAUCGCGAGGAAAGGUGCUGACCUCGGAGGGGGAGAGGUGGCGGGGGAACAGGGGGCGUUCCCACAAGGCAGUGGUGUGGAGCCGAAGGGGACUGCGAUGGAACGGGGACGGAGCCCGUUUGGACCGAGUCUUGAAGAUAGAUCUCUCGGGUUUUUGUCCGAGGAAACUUCGUCUCGAGACGGUCCUAUCGCUCGCUGGCAACGUGACUAGUCGAAUCGAGGAUGUUCGCUGCCAGAACUUCAUCCACCGAGAUGGGAAGCCAGGCAACUUCCUAACGGGCCGUGGGCAGAGUUCCCUUCUUGAUGCCGUGCCUCUAUAAUAAACUGUGCAGUCCGUUAGCUGGACGGGCUGCAGUACCCAAUUUUUUUCGCCAGGCGGCAGCACCGCGCGCCCCCCAGGCGGAGUAAGGGCAGCGCAUGCGCAGACGCGGCUUGACGCCGAAGGGGGCGUGGCCUCCGGGCACGUCGCGGGCCGAUGACGCAAUCCGGCUUCGGCGCAUGCGCAGAAGGGGUUUCUGGCAAAGUAAGGGCAGCGCAUGCGCAGACGCGGCUUGACGCCGAAGGGGGCGGGGCUUCCGGCCUCGUCGCGGACCGAUGACGCAACACGCCUCGACGCAUGCGCAGAAGGGCUUUCUGGCAAACUAAGGGCAGCGCAUGCGCAGACGCGGCUUGACGCCGAAGGGGGCGGGGCUUCCGGCCUCGGGCGUACGGGCAGAUGACGCAAUCCCGCUUUGGCGCAUGCGCAGAAGCCUUGCUGGCCGACCGAGGGCGGCGCAUGCGCAGAAGCGGCUUUGACCCCCUAGGGGCGGGGCUUCCGGCCUCGUGCGUAGGGGCAGAGGACGCAUCCGGCCCGGGAAAGGCGGGUUCGCUGCCGGCCCGCGCGGCGCGCUGGAGCGGCCGUGGAGGUUCGUCCGGAAGCGUCCGUCGACAAGUCAAGGGGAGCGGAACCGAAGGUCGCUCGAGAUGUUACUUCGCCACGCGUGCCUCGUGCUUGCGAGUCGGACUGCUGACUACGGAGGGAUCCCUUUUGUAGCCGCCGAGGGCCCGCGAGGCUCCGUGUGCCCGCCGCUUCCGAGUGCUGCGCUGCGGCUCGGGCAACGGCCGGGGAGGAACUGUCGGUCCCUGGUGGUAACGCAGCCGGGCCUGCUAGGCGCUUCAAGCAGCGCGUCCGGCCGGGCAGUGUUGUUUUCCGAGGCUGUAAAGGAGCCCGAGGUAUAAACCCGCUUGACGUUUCCGUACGGCGGUGCGCUUUGUCGGAGGGCUCGGCCGUACUGACGGAGCUGGCACAGGGUUCCCGCGGGACUCCGGCUUUGCCCGUCUCGUGGAAAGGCUCCAGAGCCUGCUUGGGAAGCCGCUUGACAAGGCACGGCUUUGCCGUGAUUUUUACGCCGGAAUUCCGACGGUAGCGCCGAUGCCACGUGUUAGCCUUUCUCCAGCAGCUCUUCAAAGCAGAGUGAGCCUUAAGAAUCGGACUGCCUUUUAACGAAAUCCGAAACAAAGCGGCGGGGUGAAGCGGCUGGAAGCGUCCUGCCGGUCUGCCGUGGGUAUUGCUGCCGUGCGUGUUACCUGCCUGUCUGCCGAUCGCUCCUGCCUCUUGUUGUGCCCCGGGCCUCGGCUGUUGCGUGCAGAGAAGCUGUCAGCCUUGUGAGAGAGCACGCCGCCGGCAAGCGCAUCGUGGUGCUUCGGUACCGAGCUGAGACCGCAGGCGUCCCUCUUUUGUUUGCGAAAAGGGAUCGCGAGGAAAGGUGCUGACCUCGGAGGGGGAGAGGUGGCGGGGGAACAGGGGGCGUUCCCACAAGGCAGUGGUGUGGAGCCGAAGGGGACUGCGAUGGAACGGUGACGGAGCCCGUUUGGACCGAGUCUUGAAGAUAGAUCUCUCGGGUUUUUGUCCGAGGAAACUUCGUCUCGAGACGGUCCUAUCGCUCGCUGGCAACGUGACUAGUCGAAUCGAGGAUGUUCGCUGCCAGAACUUCAUCCACCGAGAUGGGAAGCCAGGCAACUUCCUAACGGGCCGUGGGCAGAGUUCCCUUCUUGAUGCCGUGCCUCUAUAAUAAACUGUGCAGUCCGUUAGCUGGACGGGCUGCAGUACCCAAUUUUUUUCGCCAGGCGGCAGCACCGCGCGCCCCCCAGGCGGAGUAAGGGCAGCGCAUGCGCAGACGCGGCUUGACGCCGAAGGGGGCGUGGCCUCCGGGCACGUCGCGGGCCGAUGACGCAAUCCGGCUUCGGCGCAUGCGCAGAAGGGGUUUCUGGCAAAGUAAGGGCAGCGCAUGCGCAGACGCGGCUUGACGCCGAAGGGGGCGGGGCUUCCGGCCUCGUCGCGGACCGAUGACGCAACACGCCUCGACGCAUGCGCAGAAGGGCUUUCUGGCAAACUAAGGGCAGCGCAUGCGCAGACGCGGCUUGACGCCGAAGGGGGCGGGGCUUCCGGCCUCGGGCGUACGGGCAGAUGACGCAAUCCCGCUUUGGCGCAUGCGCAGAAGCCUUGCUGGCCGACCGAGGGCGGCGCAUGCGCAGAAGCGGCUUUGACCCCCUAGGGGCGGGGCUUCCGGCCUCGUGCGUAGGGGCAGAGGACGCAUCCGGCCCGGGAAAGGCGGGUUCGCUGCCGGCCCGCGCGGCGCGCUGGAGCGGCCGUGGAGGUUCGUCCGGAAGCGUCCGUCGACAAGUCAAGGGGAGCGGAACCGAAGGUCGCUCGAGAUGUUACUUCGCCACGCGUGCCUCGUGCUUGCGAGUCGGACUGCUGACUACGGAGGGAUCCCUUUUGUAGCCGCCGAGGGCCCGCGAGGCUCCGUGUGCCCGCCGCUUCCGAGUGCUGCGCUGCGGCUCGGGCAACGGCCGGGGAGGAACUGUCGGUCCCUGGUGGUAACGCAGCCGGGCCUGCUAGGCGCUUCAAGCAGCGCGUCCGGCCGGGCAGUGUUGUUUUCCGAGGCUGUAAAGGAGCCCGAGGUAUAAACCCGCUUGACGUUUCCGUACGGCGGUGCGCUUUGUCGGAGGGCUCGGCCGUACUGACGGAGCUGGCACAGGGUUCCCGCGGGACUCCGGCUUUGCCCGUCUCGUGGAAAGGCUCCAGAGCCUGCUUGGGAAGCCGCUUGACAAGGCACGGCUUUGCCGUGAUUUUUACGCCGGAAUUCCGACGGUAGCGCCGAUGCCACGUGUUAGCCUUUCUCCAGCAGCUCUUCAAAGCAGAGUGAGCCUUAAGAAUCGGACUGCCUUUUAACGAAAUCCGAAACAAAGCGGCGGGGUGAAGCGGCUGGAAGCGUCCUGCCGGUCUGCCGUGGGUAUCGCUGCCGUGCGUGUUACCUGCCUGUCUGCCGAUCGCUCCUGCCUCUUGUUGUGCCCCGGGCCUCGGCUGUUGCGUGCAGAGAAGCUGUCAGCCUUGUGAGAGAGCACGCCGCCGGCAAGCGCAUCGUGGUGCUUCGGUACCGAGCUGAGACCGCAGGCGUCCCUCUUUUGUUUGCGAAAAGGGAUCGCGAGGAAAGGUGCUGACCUCGGAGGGGGAGAGGUGGCGGGGGAACAGGGGGCGUUCCCACAAGGCAGUGGUGUGGAGCCGAAGGGGACUGCGAUGGAACGGUGACGGAGCCCGUUUGGACCGAGUCUUGAAGAUAGAUCUCUCGGGUUUUUGUCCGAGGAAACUUCGUCUCGAGACGGUCCUAUCGCUCGCUGGCAACGUGACUAGUCGAAUCGAGGAUGUUCGCUGCCAGAACUUCAUCCACCGAGAUGGGAAGCCAGGCAACUUCCUAACGGGCCGUGGGCAGAGUUCCCUUCUUGAUGCCGUGCCUCUAUAAUAAACUGUGCAGUCCGUUAGCUGGACGGGCUGCAGUACCCAAUUUUUUUCGCCAGGCGGCAGCACCGCGCGCCCCCCAGGCGGAGUAAGGGCAGCGCAUGCGCAGACGCGGCUUGACGCCGAAGGGGGCGUGGCCUCCGGGCACGUCGCGGGCCGAUGACGCAAUCCGGCUUCGGCGCAUGCGCAGAAGGGGUUUCUGGCAAAGUAAGGGCAGCGCAUGCGCAGACGCGGCUUGACGCCGAAGGGGGCGGGGCUUCCGGCCUCGUCGCGGACCGAUGACGCAACACGCCUCGACGCAUGCGCAGAAGGGCUUUCUGGCAAACUAAGGGCAGCGCAUGCGCAGACGCGGCUUGACGCCGAAGGGGGCGGGGCUUCCGGCCUCGGGCGUACGGGCAGAUGACGCAAUCCCGCUUUGGCGCAUGCGCAGAAGCCUUGCUGGCCGACCGAGGGCGGCGCAUGCGCAGAAGCGGCUUUGACCCCCUAGGGGCGGGGCUUCCGGCCUCGUGCGUAGGGGCAGAGGACGCAUCCGGCCCGGGAAAGGCGGGUUCGCUGCCGGCCCGCGCGGCGCGCUGGAGCGGCCGUGGAGGUUCGUCCGGAAGCGUCCGUCGACAAGUCAAGGGGAGCGGAACCGAAGGGCCUCGGCUGUUGCGUGCAGAGAAGCUGUCAGCCUUGUGAGAGAGCACGCCGCCGGCAAGCGCAUCGUGGUGCUUCGGUACCGAGCUGAGACCGCAGGCGUCCCUCUUUUGUUUGCGAAAAGGGAUCGCGAGGAAAGGUGCUGACCUCGGAGGGGGAGAGGUGGCGGGGGAACAGGGGGCGUUCCCACAAGGCAGUGGUGUGGAGCCGAAGGGGACUGCGAUGGAACGGUGACGGAGCCCGUUUGGACCGAGUCUUGAAGAUAGAUCUCUCGGGUUUUUGUCCGAGGAAACUUCGUCUCGAGACGGUCCUAUCGCUCGCUGGCAACGUGACUAGUCGAAUCGAGGAUGUUCGCUGCCAGAACUUCAUCCACCGAGAUGGGAAGCCAGGCAACUUCCUAACGGGCCGUGGGCAGAGUUCCCUUCUUGAUGCCGUGCCUCUAUAAUAAACUGUGCAGUCCGUUAGCUGGACGGGCUGCAGUACCCAAUUUUUUUCGCCAGGCGGCAGCACCGCGCGCCCCCCAGGCGGAGUAAGGGCAGCGCAUGCGCAGACGCGGCUUGACGCCGAAGGGGGCGUGGCCUCCGGGCACGUCGCGGGCCGAUGACGCAAUCCGGCUUCGGCGCAUGCGCAGAAGGGGUUUCUGGCAAAGUAAGGGCAGCGCAUGCGCAGACGCGGCUUGACGCCGAAGGGGGCGGGGCUUCCG